UCGGUGUCUUUUUCGUUGCCACCUCUCCGACAGGUCGCUCCUCUCCAAUGCUUGACCAUCUCUAGCUGCUCAUCGCUUAGUUUAUAGGGUUUUAGAAGUCUUUAUUUUCAUCUCAGAGUUUCGGCAAUGUUCUCGAAGAAUCUUCACUAUUUUUACUUCGUAGAGUUUGAAUUUGGGAAGUUUGAUCAUCCAAGGUUGAACAACAUGAGCUUGUAGUUAUUGAUGAACUAGGAACAAACACCUGUUGUGAAUGAACACUGCACCAUCCGACCUUUCUUUUGAAAUUUUAGUAAUGCCCCCACUAUGGUGCAGGUUGGAUAGGUUGUGGUUUGGACAUCCUGACAUUCUGUCGGGUUCUUUGGUAAGACCACUUAUUGUUUGACUUCUCAGUCGUGUUUUGAGGAUAAAGAGUUCAAUAGUUGCUCUGCUCAAGAAUUGUUAGAUCAACAGUCAUCAUAACAACAAUUAUAGCAGGAUGAGAUAGACGUUGCAACUUGGAUGUAUUACGAGAUCGUGGAAGAAGUGAUGAAGAGAAGAGUUUAUGACCUUGGGUUUCAAGAGAAACUGGAUUAUGACUAGGAUCCUACUUUUGAUCCCAAUGAACAUCUCUCGAACACCACAUUAGUUAGCUUUGUCCUUAAGACUCUAUUUAAUUAGUAGAAGAAUUGUUAAUGCUUUAAGAUUUAUGUAU
This is a long non-coding RNA of Solanum stenotomum, 691 nucleotides long. RefSeq lists it as uncharacterized. NCBI's taxonomy places the organism in Eukaryota, Viridiplantae, Streptophyta, Magnoliopsida, Solanales, Solanaceae. The transcript is spliced from 5 exons. The record is from RefSeq and is a predicted model, not a curated record.